CAGCGCGCGUUCCCGUGUCCUGCCCCUCUGAAUGUCGGCGGCUCCAAAAGGGUGACGUGGAGAUGUUGCCGCUCCCGCCCAGGGCUGCUUUGCAGUCGGGGAGAGAUCCUGGCUGAAGAGAUUUAAGGACGGCGGACCGCAUCGGCGCGAAUUGAGCUCUGGGCCCAAAUAUGAAGUGGCAUCCGGUGUGAGGCUCGACUGGGCGGUGCUCGAGCGCUGCUGGGGGAAGCCCAGGCCUCCAAGCCUCAGGGGCGCGCGACCGACCGCGCUGCGCUUCCAGGCGGGGCUGCGGGCUUCGCUCCUGGCCGCUCUGGGCCUGAAAGGCUGCACCGCCACCUGCGUGAGGCCACCGGACAGGACUGUGAGGAUCACAGUCGGUGAAGCAGAGUGCUUUGUAAACCUCAGAGUGCGGUACUCGUGGUGCUGGAGCCGAGAAACCAGCAGCAGCUGCUGAGAGCCGACUGUGAAGAAAUGGGAGGAACUCCGUGUUGGGAGCGAGAGGCUUCGAAAGAACUGGCCACGCAGUCAAGUGUGUGUGGCGGGGCAAGUUUCCCGGAGAAAGCGAGCAGUUUAUGUUGGAGCUUGAAGUCAGGAUAACCAGUUUUGCCUUUUUUCUGUGAACCAGCUCCAAAACAAUGCUUUACUUCAGCCCGGUCUUUUUGCAGGAAGACCAUCUGCUUAGCUUAGUUCUACAAACUUUUUCAUUUUUAAUGUGCAAAGAACAGGCGGGGAGAGCCAAAAUAAAUCUUACAACGCAAAUUUAAAAGCUGCGUACGUCAUUUAAGUGGAAAAGUAAAUUCUGAGGAAAGAGACUCAAGAACAAAAUAGGAAAAAUGGAAAUAAGUAUUCUCUGACAGUAAACUAGACUGGAACUCAGGGAUAGGCAGGAUCAUCUCCAUUACAUUCUCCAGCACUGGCCGGGCGCAGUGGCUCCUGCCUGUAAUUCCAGCACUUUGGGAAGGCGAGGCAGGAGAAUGGCUUGAGGCCAGGA
RNAcentral lists this long non-coding RNA (991 nucleotides) under Homo sapiens (human). RNAcentral describes it as "LHRI_LNC1890.1". Lineage: Eukaryota; Metazoa; Chordata; Mammalia; Primates; Hominidae. The record is from RNAcentral.